CCUACGGGGGGCUGCAGUGAGGAAUAUUGGUCAAUGGACGAGAGUCUGAACCAGCCAAGUAGCGUGAAGGAUGACUGCCCUAUGGGUUGUAAACUUCUUUUAUAAAGGAAUAAAACGAGUCACGUGUGCCUUUUUGCAUGUACUUUAUGAAUAAGGAUCGGCUAAUUCCGUGCCAGCAGCCGCGGUAAUACGGAGGAUCCGAGCGUUAUCCGGAUUUAUUGGGUUUAAAGGGAGCGUAGGUGGGUUGUUAAGUGAGUUGUGAAAGUUUGCGGCUAAACCGUAAAAUUGCAAUUGAUACUGGGAGUCUUGAGUACAGUUGAGGUAGGAGGAAUUCGUGGUGUAGCGGUGAAAUGCUUAGAUAUCACGAAGAACUCCGAUUGCGAAGGCAGCUUACUAAACUGUGACUGACAUUGAUGCUCGAAAGUGUGGGUAUCAAACAGGAUUAGAUACCCCUGUAGUC
This 460-nucleotide ribosomal RNA is filed under the name uncultured bacterium. RNAcentral's name for it is "partial 16S ribosomal RNA". It matches the Rfam family "Bacterial small subunit ribosomal RNA", at positions 338 to 795 of the family's 1533-position model. The record is from RNAcentral.